Molecule: ribosomal RNA, 497 nt
Filed under: uncultured bacterium
Lineage: Bacteria
Description: partial 16S ribosomal RNA
Rfam family: Bacterial small subunit ribosomal RNA
Source: RNAcentral
GAUGAACGCUGGCGGCGUGCCUAAUACAUGCAAGUCGAGCGAACAGAUGAGGAGCUUGCUCCUCUGACGUUAGCGGCGGACGGGUGAGUAACACGUGGAUAACCUACCUAUAAGACUGGGAUAACUUCGGGAAACCGGAGCUAAUACCGGAUAAUAUAUUGAACCGCAUGGUUCAAUAGUGAAAGACGGUUUUGCUGUCACUUAUAGAUGGAUCCGCGCCGCAUUAGCUAGUUGGUAAGGUAACGGUUUACCAAGGCAACGAUGCGUAGCCGACCUGAGAGGGUGAUCGGCCACACUGGAACUGAGACACGGUCCAGACUCCUACGGGAGGCAGCAGUAGGGAAUCUUCCGCAAUGGGCGAAAGCCUGACGGAGCAACGCCGCGUGAGUGAUGAAGGUCUUCGGAUCGUAAAACUCUGUUAUUAGGGAAGAACAAAUGUGUAAGUAACUAUGCACGUCUUGACGGUACCUAAUCAGAAAGCCACGGCUAACUACGUG